Long non-coding RNA from Panicum virgatum (switchgrass), 1658 nucleotides. RefSeq lists it as uncharacterized. The record is from RefSeq and is a predicted model, not a curated record. Lineage: Eukaryota; Viridiplantae; Streptophyta; Magnoliopsida; Poales; Poaceae. The transcript is spliced from 2 exons.
AGGAAGCAUGCAAGCAGGAGGUGGAGCUCAGAUGGGGUCGGUUGAAUUCAAAUAAAAGCCGCCAUGGCCGUCGUCGUCAUCCACAGACAGUCCAUCUCCUCCUUGCGCCCCUCCCUGUUUUCCCGAAAUUCGUCGUCCUUGCUCAAUCUUGGUUCAAUUCCUCGUAGCCAUAGAACCAUUAGCCCUCCCUCGACUGAUUUGAGUAGGUUUUAGCCCCUGCCGCCAACCACCACCGCUGCAGCGCCGUCGCCUUUCACGUUCAGCCCGCCGUCGAGCAGAGAGAAUUGGAUCGAGGUCGUCCAAGCCGAGUUCGUCAAGUCGUUACCCGAGGCUUCAGAAGAGGAGAAAGAAAGUUGAUCAGGAUAAAGCUCAUACAAGAACUGCAAGUUGAAGCAUUACCUUCUAAAUUAGAGAAAGGCAAGCACCGGAGCAUCUACACCUACUAAUUUUCCUAACUAUUGUUACUAUUUAUGUUUUUGCACAUGAAUGCUUAAGUCUAGGAGUUGUUUGCAAUCCAUUUCAUGCAUGAUCAACAUCCUUGACUUAAGGACAUCUUUGCCACAUUCUCAACUAGAUUAGAUUGAACCAAGUGUCUAAAAGAAACCUACACUAAAAGCAACCAAAGGGUUAAGGUAUUAUUACUCGAAGGUUCACUUGGUACAACAAGGCAGUGGUUAAUGUUGGAUAUGAUGGUCGAUGAGUACAGAGCAGAAAAGGAGUUCUGACUCGGUACUCACUUGCAAAGAAAGAAUAAGAAACUAUGGUAUGUUUAACCUUGAUCAGACAUGCGUAAACUGGUCAUAUGCUGACAUAUGGAACCAGCAAGCCCAGUAAGCCCGGUAGCUGGGUGGACCUAAAUUCUUGAACCAAGUUGUACCCCACUCGACGUGGAUAUAGGUGGCAGGGUUGUAGCCUGAAACCCGUGUUGUGAUCAGGCCCGACGGGGGGUCCUGCACGGGGGUGCGAACCCGGGUGUUGGUAUGCUUGGUUCAGGGUUUAGUAUCCUCCUUGUGAAAGGUUGCCACGUGCAGUUUACCGGAAGCUGUACGUGACGUGUGCCCAGUUAUCUCCUGUAGGAUGUAAAUCGAUUCGAAUCGCCGCAAUUCUCGGAUAUGAAUGCCGUUUGAUCUCGCUUAAACAUCGUAACUAAUUACGAUGUAACCAGUAUAAAAGUUGUUGCUUGUGAACCUAGAGGUAUCUUGGUGUCGGUGUAUUAGAGUUAAUCUUGAACUAGUGUCUAAAUGUAAGUCCUUAAUUAGGUAUAGUCACUGUUUUUGAGUCCAAACAUUUGAAAAAUGAGCCAGUCCACCAAAUACAACCUUGCAUGCUCCUUGAUUCUUUUUAUAGUUAUACUGGUAUAGUCGGGUCAGUCUUGCUGAGUACCUUCGUACUCAGUGUUUGUGCUUUAACUGUUUUAACAGUGCCGCCGGGAGAAGCGCAGGAGUGAAGACCUCAAGACCUGGGGUGUACGCCGAGUCCAUACACCUCCGGAUGUUUUACAAAAUCUUAUGAGAUUAAGCCUGCAUGUUAACCAACCCUACGAUUGUAGGAUCUACGUGUUUGAAACUCUGUAGAACUAGUUUGCACUAAGGUUUGUGCUAAUUGUAUAAUAAAUCUCAUCUUAUUUUUUUUGAUAUACAAUUAACGUCUAUGUGUAA